CAGCCGCCGCGGGAAAACGGAGGGUGCAAGCGUUAAUCGGAAUUACUGGGCGUAAAGCGCACGCAGGCGGUCUGACAAGUCAGAUGUGAAAUCCCCGGGCUUAACCUGGGAACUGCAUUUGAAACUGUCAGGCUGGAGUCUUGUAGAGGGGGGUGGAAUUCCAGGUGUAGCGGUGAAAUGCGUAGAGAUCUGGAGGAAUACCGGUGGCGAAGGCGGCCCCCUGGACAAAGACUGACGCUCAGGUGCGAAAGCGUGGGGAGCAAACAGGAUUAGAUACCCGAGUAGUCCCUGUCUCUUAUAA
This 301-nucleotide ribosomal RNA is filed under the name uncultured bacterium. Its description in RNAcentral is "partial 16S ribosomal RNA". It matches the Rfam family "Bacterial small subunit ribosomal RNA", at positions 509 to 809 of the family's 1533-position model. The record is from RNAcentral.